AAUAAGUGCAGCCACAAGUUUCCGCGUCCAACUUUAAUCAUCCGUCUUAUUUGAAUUUUUUUAUAAUUAACAUUUUUGUUGUUAUAAGAUGAUAAAACAUAAAUAAUAUUUUACUCAUGACUUAUGUUUUUAUUUUUUUUAAAAUUUUUUCAAAUAAGACGAACAGUCAAAGUUAGACACGGAAAAUCAUGGCUACACUUAUU
RNAcentral lists this microRNA precursor (203 nucleotides) under Oryza sativa Japonica Group (Japanese rice). RNAcentral's name for it is "MIR812 microRNA precursor family". It matches the Rfam family "MIR812 microRNA precursor family". The record is from Rfam by way of RNAcentral. Lineage: Eukaryota; Viridiplantae; Streptophyta; Magnoliopsida; Poales; Poaceae.